RNAcentral lists this long non-coding RNA (2758 nucleotides) under Parus major (Great Tit). Its description in RNAcentral is "lncRNA (ENSPMJG00000003316.1)". Lineage: Eukaryota; Metazoa; Chordata; Aves; Passeriformes; Paridae. The record is from RNAcentral.
CGGGGGGGACUACAUUGCCCAACAUUCCUAGCGGGCCCGCCGCGUUAUCGCUCUCUGCGUUGCAUGCUGGGGAAUGUAGUUCCCGCCUCACAGCUGCGCCUCUUUGCCGCCAUGUUUCCAGACUCCCUUUAGCCAGGGCGUGAGAGGAAAAUGGGGAAGAUGAAGGAAAAAUACUCAGCAGAUAACACGGCCUCUCCUGUGAUAAAGAGCCCUGUCCACAUAAUUUCUUUUAUGCCACUUUAUGGGGUGUUUGGUGAGCGGAUGGGGAAAUAAGGAAGUGCAUGUCCCUGCGACACCGGGAUGGGGUUCACGGGGCGACGAGCAGGAGAAAGGAGAUUUGGCAGUCCCCCACUUGUACUCCACAUAAACUCUUUAGGACACGCAGCUUCUCCUCAGCUCAGGGCUGGCAGAGAUCUGAUGUCCAGUCCCUGGCAGAUACUCUGCCUUGUCUCUCCAGUGGUCCUGGAGGCUGCUGUCUCCAGCUGAUCACUUUGGAUCCGGAGAUCUCCAGGACACGACCCACAACCCGUGUCCCUCUGCCUGGGCCCUGCCACCCGCUAAUCACACAAUGCUCCCAGUUCCUGGAUAAGAACCGAGGUGUUUGUUCCUUCCCUGAGCAUCCCGGAUCUCAGCGAUCCCAGUCACACCCCCGGCUCCAGCUGCUCUUCCAGGUUCACUGGAAGGAAAGGAAGAUGCCUGAGUGUCUCUCCUGUGGCACCUUUCCUGCUCUCCAUCAGGACAGCAAGCCAGAUGUGGAGCCCCAGGCUCCAGCAAAGCCCAUCUCAGGGAUGGUUCCCAUCUGGAGCAGGCAUUUUGCUCCCAAGCCCCAGGCAGAGGCACCAAGCAGUGAGGAUUUCCUGCUGCCAGCCAAGCCCAGGGGAAGCACAACACAGAGCCAGCAGAGUUUUACCUUUGAAUUUGACCACCAUGUCCACAACCAGCUGGCUCAUGUCAGAGACACUCUCAAUGCUCCUCUGCAGCUCCAGGAAAACCAGCUCUGGGACUGGGGCUGCCUCACAGCUGAGGGGAACAAAAGGGAGAGGAGCUCUGAGCCCAGCCACCAGCCAGGCCCAGGAAGGAAACAGGGAAAUCCCUACAGCCACAGAACCCAGAGCAGCUGUGCCCAGCUAUCAGCACAGGAACCCCAUCUUUAGGAGGGGUGCAGUGGCAUCUGGUUCCUGGGAGCAUCACAUGAAAUCCCAAAUACUCAGCAGGGCAAACCACCUCCCUCCUGGCUCCUGCAGCGCUCCCACACCUCUGCCCAAAGGAGCUGUGCAGGAGGAGAGGGACACCAAGCCUGUUUCAAACCUGCUCAGGAUUUUGCCAGCAUCCUGCAAGAGAGAAAACACAGGAACUGCUGCAGCUCCUCAAAGGUCUCGGGCACCUGCUGCAGCUCCAACAUCUCCAUCACCUGCAAGGCACCACACGGAGGCCCUGAGCCCGCCCAGCCUCCAGCUGCCUCCACAGGGACACAGCUGCUGCAGAGAGGGGACAAGGAUCACACACAAGGGGAGCAGAGGUUUUGUACAGCACGAGUGGAAAGAAUGGAGAGAGAGAGUCUGCAUGUUGAUGAGCUCAAGGAGGCCAUAUGAGAUGGAUAGAGAGGGAGAGAGAAAAGAACACUGUCAUGGAUUAGGAGGUAAGCAUAUAUGGGGAGAGGGAACAAUGGGACAUUCCUGGGGAGCCAGGUGGGUGAGCAGUGGGGGGCAUGGAGAGGAUCACACACCAGCAGGUCAUCACUUUUUGGGUCUUCUUUGAGCUUCAAUUUUUCCUUCUGUUUUUGUAGAAAAAGCAGGCUGCUCUGGAGCGUCUCUUAGGGCAGAGAUUAAAAAAAAGCAUUUCUGGUAAUUUUGGAGUGACAUUCACAGGAGGGAGAUGAUGUCACCAAACAACUCCUGUGGGGAGAAUCCCAGUGUGGGGAGUCACUAGGGGUGACCCCUGAGUGCCUGGGAGUGGGUUUUGAGCUCAGAGACAGCACACACCUCUCCAAACUCACUUUAGUCAGGCUGGGGAGAGCCCCAUCCACAGCUCUUAUGGCCAGAAACAUUUCUGGAAUAACUUCAUGUAGAAUCCCUGGAGUUUGCGGUUUGGGUUUGUUUUUUUUAAAUUUUUAUUUAAUAAGAAAAAACAACUUUUGACAUUGGAAGUGGGAUUUCUGGGAAGAGGUUUGCAGUGACAGUAGCAGUUACUCAGACAUGCUCCAUAAAUUUGCUGGAGUUUUAAAAAACUCCUCAUGCUCUGAGUUAUCUCUUGCGUUGCAGUGAGCUGAGCCCACAUUGAGGGGCAGAAACCCUGGCUGGGGACAUCUGGGGCACAAGGGACCAUAUGGGGACACAGAGGGGUGAGCAGUGAGAGGGUCCUGGGCUCUUGGGUGGGCUGGGCCAGGUGAUGGGAGAACCAGCAGCCCCAGCAGGGUGGGAUACAGGACCCCAGCCCACAGAUGGGGACCCCAAACUCCAGACAGGGUAGCAGCUGGGCGAGGCCCCAAAUCCGUGGCCCAAAUCCUAGGGGACACACCCUAACCUGUGUGUGGAGGGGAAGCAGAGCAGUGCCCUGAGAGAAGCCCAGACCGUGCUCAGAGGAGACCCACCCAUGCAUGGAGGGGACCCAGACCCAUACCCAGAGCAGCUCACGCCCACAGCAGACCCCAGACGUAUGUCCAGACAGGACACUAACCUGUACCCAGAGGGGACCCUGCCGGUGCCUGGAGUCGAUCCCAACCUGUGGCCGAGCCCGAUCUGUGCCCCUCGGCCACCCC